GCCUGGGUGGCUCAGUCGGUUAAGCAUCUGACUUUGGCUCAGGUCAUGAUCUCGCGGUCCGUGAGUUCGAGCCCCGCAUCGGGCU
This 85-nucleotide transfer RNA is filed under the name Felis catus (domestic cat). It matches the Rfam family "tRNA". Rfam says of the family: Transfer RNA (tRNA) molecules are approximately 80 nucleotides in length. Their secondary structure includes four short double-helical elements and three loops (D, anti-codon, and T loops). RNAcentral also lists the same sequence under 1 other name. The record is from Rfam by way of RNAcentral. Lineage: Eukaryota; Metazoa; Chordata; Mammalia; Carnivora; Felidae.